CCGAGUUUACAACUCCCAAACCCCUGUGAACAUACCUGGACGUUGCUUCGGCGGAUCGCCCCGGCGCCCGCCGGGGGACCCAAACUCUUGUUUUUCGCCUCGGCGGGAUUCCUUCUGAGUGAGCGAGCAAAUGAAUCA
RNAcentral lists this unclassified non-coding RNA (138 nucleotides) under uncultured Sordariomycetes. RNAcentral describes it as "sequence contains ITS1". The record is from RNAcentral. Lineage: Eukaryota; Fungi; Ascomycota; Sordariomycetes.